RNAcentral lists this ribosomal RNA (2932 nucleotides) under Yersinia pestis. Its description in RNAcentral is "bacterial LSU rRNA". It matches the Rfam family "Bacterial large subunit ribosomal RNA". Lineage: Bacteria; Pseudomonadati; Pseudomonadota; Gammaproteobacteria; Enterobacterales; Yersiniaceae. The record is from RNAcentral.
GGGUUGUGAGGUUAAGCGACUAAGCGUACACGGUGGAUGCCUAGGCAGUCAGAGGCGAUGAAGGGCGUGCUAAUCUGCGAAAAGCGUCGGUAAGCUGAUAUGAAGCGUUAUAACCGACGAUACCCGAAUGGGGAAACCCAGUGCAAUACGUUGCACUAUCGUUAGAUGAAUACAUAGUCUAACGAGGCGAACCGGGGGAACUGAAACAUCUAAGUACCCCGAGGAAAAGAAAUCAACCGAGAUUCCCCCAGUAGCGGCGAGCGAACGGGGAGGAGCCCAGAGUCUGAAUCAGUUUGUGUGUUAGUGGAAGCGUCUGGAAAGUCGCACGGUACAGGGUGAUAGUCCCGUACACCAAAAUGCACAGGCUGUGAACUCGAUGAGUAGGGCGGGACACGUGACAUCCUGUCUGAAUAUGGGGGACCAUCCUCCAAGGCUAAAUACUCCUGACUGACCGAUAGUGAACCAGUACCGUGAGGGAAAGGCGAAAAGAACCCCGGCGAGGGGAGUGAAAUAGAACCUGAAACCGUGUACGUACAAGCAGUGGGAGCACCUUCGUGGUGUGACUGCGUACCUUUUGUAUAAUGGGUCAGCGACUUAUAUUUUGUAGCAAGGUUAACCGAAUAGGGGAGCCGUAGGGAAACCGAGUCUUAACUGGGCGUCUAGUUGCAAGGUAUAGACCCGAAACCCGGUGAUCUAGCCAUGGGCAGGUUGAAGGUUGGGUAACACUAACUGGAGGACCGAACCGACUAAUGUUGAAAAAUUAGCGGAUGACUUGUGGCUGGGGGUGAAAGGCCAAUCAAACCGGGAGAUAGCUGGUUCUCCCCGAAAGCUAUUUAGGUAGCGCCUCGUGAACUCAUCUUCGGGGGUAGAGCACUGUUUCGGCUAGGGGGCCAUCCCGGCUUACCAAACCGAUGCAAACUCCGAAUACCGAAGAAUGUUAUCACGGGAGACACACGGCGGGUGCUAACGUCCGUCGUGAAGAGGGAAACAACCCAGACCGCCAGCUAAGGUCCCAAAGUCAUGGUUAAGUGGGAAACGAUGUGGGAAGGCACAGACAGCCAGGAUGUUGGCUUAGAAGCAGCCAUCAUUUAAAGAAAGCGUAAUAGCUCACUGGUCGAGUCGGCCUGCGCGGAAGAUGUAACGGGGCUAAACCAUGCACCGAAGCUGCGGCAGCGACACUUAGGUGUUGUUGGGUAGGGGAGCGUUCUGUAAGCCGUUGAAGGUGACCUGUGAGGGUUGCUGGAGGUAUCAGAAGUGCGAAUGCUGACAUAAGUAACGAUAAUGCGGGUGAAAAACCCGCACGCCGGAAGACCAAGGGUUCCUGUCCAACGUUAAUCGGGGCAGGGUGAGUCGACCCCUAAGGCGAGGCUGAAAAGCGUAGUCGAUGGGAAACAGGUUAAUAUUCCUGUACUUGGUGUUACUGCGAAGGGGGACGGAGAAGGCUAGGCUGGCCGGGCGACGGUUGUCCCGGUUUAAGCGUGUAGGGGGAGUGACCAGGUAAAUCCGGUUGCUUAUCAACCCUGAGGCGUGAUGACGAUGCACCACGGUGCAGAAGCAGUUGAUGCCAUGCUUCCAGGAAAAGCCUCUAAGCAUCAGGUAACAUUAAAUCGUACCCCAAACCGACACAGGUGGUCAGGUAGAGAAUACUCAGGCGCUUGAGAGAACUCGGGUGAAGGAACUAGGCAAAAUGGUGCCGUAACUUCGGGAGAAGGCACGCUGGCGUUAGGUGAAAGGACUAGCUCCUGGAGCUGAAGCCAGUCGCAGAUACCAGCUGGCUGCAACUGUUUAAUAAAAACACAGCACUGUGCAAACACGAAAGUGGACGUAUACGGUGUGACGCCUGCCCGGUGCUGGAAGGUUAAUUGAUGGGGUCAGCCGCAAGGCGAAGCUCUUGAUCGAAGCCCCAGUAAACGGCGGCCGUAACUAUAACGGUCCUAAGGUAGCGAAAUUCCUUGUCGGGUAAGUUCCGACCUGCACGAAUGGCGUAAUGAUGGCCAGGCUGUCUCCACCCGAGACUCAGUGAAAUUGAACUCGCUGUGAAGAUGCAGUGUACCCGCGGCAAGACGGAAAGACCCCGUGAACCUUUACUAUAGCUUGACACUGAACAUUGAGCCUUGAUGUGUAGGAUAGGUGGGAGGCCUUGAAGUGUGGACGCCAGUCUGCAUGGAGCCAACCUUGAAAUACCACCCUUUAAUGUUUGAUGUUCUAACUCGGCCCCAUGAUCUGGGGUGAGGACAGUGUCUGGUGGGUAGUUUGACUGGGGCGGUCUCCUCCCAAAGAGUAACGGAGGAGCACGAAGGUUAGCUAAUCACGGUCGGACAUCGUGAGGUUAGUGCAAAGGCAUAAGCUAGCUUGACUGCGAGAGUGACGGCUCGAGCAGGUACGAAAGUAGGUCUUAGUGAUCCGGUGGUUCUGAAUGGAAGGGCCAUCGCUCAACGGAUAAAAGGUACUCCGGGGAUAACAGGCUGAUACCGCCCAAGAGUUCAUAUCGACGGCGGUGUUUGGCACCUCGAUGUCGGCUCAUCACAUCCUGGGGCUGAAGUAGGUCCCAAGGGUAUGGCUGUUCGCCAUUUAAAGUGGUACGCGAGCUGGGUUUAGAACGUCGUGAGACAGUUCGGUCCCUAUCUGCCGUGGGCGUUGGAAGAUUGAGAGGGGCUGCUCCUAGUACGAGAGGACCGGAGUGGACGAAUCACUGGUGUUCGGGUUGUCAUGCCAAUGGCAUUGCCCGGUAGCUAAAUUCGGAAGAGAUAACCGCUGAAAGCAUCUAAGCGGGAAACUUGCCUCGAGAUGAGUCUUCCCUGGGGCUUAAAGCCCCCUGAAGGAACGUUAAAGACUAUGACGUUGAUAGGCUGGGUGUGUAAGUGCAGCGAUGUAUUGAGCUAACCAGUACUAAUGAUCCGUGAGGCUUAACCUUACAACACCGAAGGUGUUU